RNAcentral lists this ribosomal RNA (465 nucleotides) under Vreelandella stevensii. RNAcentral's name for it is "partial 16S ribosomal RNA". It matches the Rfam family "Bacterial small subunit ribosomal RNA", at positions 338 to 795 of the family's 1533-position model. Lineage: Bacteria; Pseudomonadati; Pseudomonadota; Gammaproteobacteria; Oceanospirillales; Halomonadaceae. The record is from RNAcentral.
CCUACGGGUGGCUGCAGUGGGGAAUAUUGGACAAUGGGCGAAAGCCUGAUCCAGCCAUGCCGCGUGUGUGAAGAAGGCCUUCGGGUUGUAAAGCACUUUCAGUGGGGAAGAAAGCCUUGGGGCUAAUACCCUCGAGGAAGGACAUCACCCACAGAAGAAGCACCGGCUAACUCCGUGCCAGCAGCCGCGGUAAUACGGAGGGUGCGAGCGUUAAUCGGAAUUACUGGGCGUAAAGCGCGCGUAGGCGGUCUAAUAAGCCGGUUGUGAAAGCCCCGGGCUCAACCUGGGAACGGCAUCCGGAACUGUCAGGCUAGAGUGCAGGAGAGGAAGGUAGAAUUCCCGGUGUAGCGGUGAAAUGCGUAGAGAUCGGGAGGAAUACCAGUGGCGAAGGCGGCCUUCUGGACUGACACUGACGCUGAGGUGCGAAAGCGUGGGUAGCAAACAGGAUUAGAUACCCGGGUAGUC